This 468-nucleotide ribosomal RNA is filed under the name uncultured bacterium. RNAcentral's name for it is "partial 16S ribosomal RNA". It matches the Rfam family "Bacterial small subunit ribosomal RNA", at positions 28 to 507 of the family's 1533-position model. The record is from RNAcentral.
GAUGAACGCUGGCGGCGUGCUUAACACAUGCAAGUCGAACGGAAAGGCUCUGCUUUUGUUGGGUGCUCGAGUGCCGAACGGGAGAGUAUCACGAGUGUAACCUGCCCCUGACACUGGGAUAACUUCAGGGAACUGGGGCUCAUACCGGAUAGGAGUUCCAGCUGCAUGGUGGGGGUUGGAAAGUUUCGGCGGGUGGGGAUGGACCCGCGGCUCAUCAGCUUGUUGGUGGGGUAGUGGCUUACCAAGGCUUUGACGGGUAGCCGGCCUGGGAGGGUGACCGGCCACAAUGGGACUGAGAUAACGCCCAAUACCCUACGGGGGGGAUCAGGGGAGAAUAAUGCACAAUGGGCGGAAGCCCGAUGCGGCAACGCCGGGGGCGGGAUAACGGCCUUCGGGUUGGAAACCGCUUUCGCCUGUGACGAAGCGUGAGUGACGUUAAUGGGUGAAGAAGGACCGGCUAACUACGUG